UUUUUGGAGCCUGUGGGCAUCAUCUACAACCCUGUGGAGUAUGCAUGGGAGCUGCAUCGCAACUACAUGAUUUGCUUCUGCCAAGGCCCCAAGGAAGUGCUUUUCCUGGGUAUGAACCCAGGGCCUUUCGGCAUGGCCCACACUGGGGUGCCCUUUGGGGAAGUAAACAUGGUCCAGGACUGGUUGAGCAUUCAGGGGCUGGUGCUGACUCCUCCCCAGGAGCACCCUAAGCGACCGGUGCUGGGACUAGAGUGCCCACAGUCAGAGGUGAGUGGUGCCUGAUUCUGGGGCUUUUCCCAGAACCUCUGUGGACAGCCUGAGGUCUUCUUCUGUCACUGCUUUGUCCAUAACCUGUGUCCUCUGCUCUUCCUGGCUUCCAGCGGGCGCAACCUCACCUCUGCCGAAGCUGCCUGCCAGGCAGCGAGAACAGCUUCUCAGGCUCUGUGAGGCGGCCCUCUGCCGGCAGGUGCAGCUGCUGGGGGUGUGGCUGGUGGUGGGAAUGGGGCGGCUGGCGGAUCAGCGGGCACGGCGGGCUCUGGCCGGCCUGACUCCAGAGGUCCAGGUGGAGGGGCUCCUGCACCCUUCUCCCCGGAAUCCGCAGGCCAACAAGGGCUGGGAGGCGGUGGCCAGGGAGAGGCUGGAGGAGUUGGGGCUGCUGCCACUGCUGUCGAAAUGAGUGCUCUGGGACUGGAUGGGACACCCAAGGCCUCUGAGUCAUCCUUGCAGCAGAUGCCAGUGCUCCUCCUGUGCUGGAGCAGAAGGUCCCCUGGGCU
Carlito syrichta (Philippine tarsier) is the source of this 773-nucleotide RNA transcript. It is a transcript of the gene named single-strand selective monofunctional uracil DNA glycosylase-like, with no coding region annotated. The record is from RefSeq and is a predicted model, not a curated record. The transcript is spliced from 2 exons. NCBI's taxonomy places the organism in Eukaryota, Metazoa, Chordata, Mammalia, Primates, Tarsiidae.